GUGUCAGCAGCCGCGGUAAUACGGAGGGUGCGAGCGUUGUUCGGAAUUAUUGGGCGUAAAGCGCGUGUAGGCGGUUUGUUAAGUCUGAUGUGAAAGCCCCGGGCUCAACCUGGGAAGUGCAUUGGAUACUGGCAGACUUGAAUACGGGAGAGGGUAGUGGAAUUCCUGGUGUAGGAGUGAAAUCCGUAGAUAUCAGGAGGAACACCGGUGGCGAAGGCGGCUGCCUGGACCGAUAUUGACGCUGAGACGCGAAAGCGUGGGGAGCAAACAGGAUUAGAAACCCCGGUAGUCC
RNAcentral lists this ribosomal RNA (292 nucleotides) under uncultured bacterium. Its description in RNAcentral is "partial 16S ribosomal RNA". It matches the Rfam family "Bacterial small subunit ribosomal RNA", at positions 505 to 796 of the family's 1533-position model. The record is from RNAcentral.